RNAcentral lists this unclassified non-coding RNA (923 nucleotides) under Primulina subrhomboidea. RNAcentral's name for it is "partial 166FR". Lineage: Eukaryota; Viridiplantae; Streptophyta; Magnoliopsida; Lamiales; Gesneriaceae. The record is from RNAcentral.
UUUCUUCUCUAUUACACUAUAUAAUUUUAUGCUGGUAGUUUACCAUCUUGGUCAUUUCAUAUAUGCCGUUAUUUGUAAGCAUUUAUCUUGCUGUGGAUCGAGGGUUCGGGCUAGAAUUUAAUUUGGUGGCUUCUGACCUGUAACUUCUCCUCUUAUGUUUAACUUUGAAAUGCUUUCAAACAAUUUGGCUUGUGAGCUAUAAAUUAAUCGCCUUUUUACAUUCUGGGUCUGAUUACUGAGCCGGGAGGGAAAUAAAAAAAGAAUCUCAGCACCGAUUAAGCUCAUUUUUACUACUGCUUCCGUUGGUACAGCCAGAGAGGAACUCAAACAUUGUCUCCCGAUCUAUUAUUUCAAGAUGGAAUUGAACUGCUAGGACAAUUUGACUGAUUACGUUCAUUAUUCAAAUGGUAAAAUUCCAUUGCAUAAUGCAGAGCCUAAUUCUAGAAUGCUCUACUUAAUAUUUUCCAAUAAAUGUUGUAUUUGAAAUUUUAGAUUUGAUUAAAAAUAAGGUGUAACCACCACCCUCUUGUUAGAGUUUAAAUGUGAGGUGUGAGAAAGUGGUAAAAAUUUGUGGAAUAAAACUGUUGUGCGGAUAAAUGGUGCAUAAGAUCUUGUGAGGUACUUGCUUUAGCAGUACGAGCGAAUGUUCACUUCUCUCAUUUAACGUGGAAUUAGGGUUUAAAAAUAGAAUGAAAUAUCUUUAGUUUUUCUAAGUGGUAAUUUGGGCUUGGGUGCAGGUGAGGUUGAGCGAGUAGCAGGACACACAUCAAAAGUAAAAGUGCACACAUAUGGCACACAGUUUGUUAUUACUGGAUUCAACUAUUUGUUUUUGUGCAACUGAUGCUGAAAUUUGCAUAUUUUGUAAUGUAUAAAGGUACAGGUGAUUUGGGCGAGCGACCCAGUUUCACAACGGAGGGGAGGAG